UACGUAGGGUGCAAGCGUUAAUCGGAAUUACUGGGCGUAAAGCGUGCGCAGGCGGUGAUGUAAGACAGUUGUGAAAUCCCCGGGCUCAACCUGGGAACUGCAUCUGUGACUGCAUCGCUGGAGUGCGGCAGAGGGGGAUGGAAUUCCGCGUGUAGCAGUGAAAUGCGUAGAUAUGCGGAGGAACACCGAUGGCGAAGGCAGCCCCCUGGGAUAACACUGACGCUCAUGCACGAAAGCGUGGGGAGCAAACAGG
Molecule: ribosomal RNA, 253 nt
Filed under: uncultured bacterium
Lineage: Bacteria
Description: partial 16S ribosomal RNA
Rfam family: Bacterial small subunit ribosomal RNA
Source: RNAcentral